This is a long non-coding RNA of Manis pentadactyla (Chinese pangolin), 2028 nucleotides long. RefSeq lists it as uncharacterized. NCBI's taxonomy places the organism in Eukaryota, Metazoa, Chordata, Mammalia, Pholidota, Manidae. The record is from RefSeq and is a predicted model, not a curated record. The transcript has 3 exons.
GUCAAGUAGGCAAUUGGAUUUACAAUUCUAGAAUUCAGGGGAAAACUGGAUCAUGGGGCAAUUGAGAAAUGCUUCUAGGACUGAGGGCUGAAGUUGGGACCUGCAGUGAGCCCAAAGGAACAGCUUAAAUGUUCCAGUCAGAACUGCAGAGUGCUUAGAGGUCAGGAAGAAGAGGAGAUAGCAGCCAAUGAAACAGAGAAGUGUGGUACAGAAUCUUUUGAUUCCAUUUCCUGUCAUCCUGGGGACCCCCAAGAGGCUCAUGUUCCUGAUUCAUCAGCCCAUUUCAUGGUAUGUGGAAGCAUUACUCUGAGUUAGAGAACAAGCAGUGACUUUGGAGAAAGGAAGGUCAUAUAGCAUGUUGAAGAGCUCAAUGAGAAGGCCUCCCUAGUCACUGAGAUAGAGCAAUAUUGAAAUUGGGCCGUUAAUGACCUUACAAUGGCCUCUAGGUGCUCCAGUGAGAGGAAGAGCGUCACAUCUUUCACUUUAAAUCAAAAGCUAGAAAUGGCUUAGCUUAGUGAGGAAGGCAGGUCAAAGGCCAAGAUAGGCCUCUUAUGUCAAACAGUUAGGUUGUGAAUGCAAAGGAAAAGAGCUCUUAAAGGCAUUUUAAAGUGCUCUUUCAGUGACCACAAAUGAUAAAAGGCAAAACAGCCUUCUUGCUGAUAUGGAGAAAGUGUGAGUGGUCUGGGUGGGAGAGCAAACCAGCCACAACAGCCCUUAAGCCAGAGCCUCAUCAAAGCAAGGCCCCAACUCCCUUCAAUUCUGUGAAGGCUGAGAGACGUGAGGAGGCUGCAGAAGAGCUGGAAAUGAGCAGAGGCUGGUUUAUGAGGUUUAAGGAAAGACGCUGUCUCUGUAGUAUAAAAGUGCAGGUGAAGCAGCAGGUGCUGAUGGAGAAGCUGCAGCAAGUCACCCAGGAGAUCCAGCUCAGGUCAUUCGUGCAGGCGGCCAUGCUAAAUGGCAGAUUUUUAAUGUAGAUGAAACAGCCUUCUAUCAGAAGAGGAUGCUAUCUAGGACUUCCAUGGCUAGAGAGGAGAAGUCAAUGCCUGGCUUCAAAGCUUCAGAGGACCAGCUGACUCUUGGCUAAUGGAGCUGAUGACCUUAAGUGGAAGCCAUUGCUCAUCUAUCAUCCUGAAAGUCCUAGGGCCUUUAAGAAUAAUGCUAAAUGUACCCAGGCUGUGCUCUAAUGGUGGUACAAAAAAGUAUGGAUGACGCCACAUCUAUUCACAUGGUUUACUGAAUAUUUUAAGCCCACCAUUGAGAUCUACUGCUCAGAAAAAAGAUUCCUUUCAAAAUAUUACUGCUCACUGACAAUGCACCCAAGAGGUGUGAUGGCUAUGUGCAAGAUUAAUGCUUAUGCCUGCUAACACAACACCCUUCUGCAGCCCAUGGAUCAAGGAGUCAUUUUGGCUUUCAAGCCUAAUUAUUUAAGAAAUACAUUUUGCAAGGCUAUAGCUACCAGAGAGAAAGCUACCAUAGAUAGUGAUUCCUCUGAUGGCUCUGGACAAAAUAGAUUGGAAGGGAUUCAUCAUUCCAGAUGCCAUUAAGGACAUAUCUGAUUCGUGGGAAGAGGUCAAAAUAUGAAAAUUAACGAGAGUUUGGAAGAAAGUGAUUCCAGCCCUUCAUGGAUGACUUUGAGGGGUUCAAGACUUCAGGGGAGGAAGUAACUGCAGAUGGUGGAAAUAGCAAGAAAAUUAGAAUUAAAAGUGGAGCCUGAAGAUGUAACUGCAUUGCUGCAGUCUUAUGAUCGAAUUUGAAUGGCUGAGGAGUUGCUUCUAAUGAAUGAGCAAAGAAAGUGAUUUCUUGAAACUGGUGAAGAUGCUGUGCAGAUUGUUGAAAUGAAAACAGUGGAUUUAGAAUAUUCCAUAAACUUAGUUGCUAAAGCAGUGGCAGGGUUUGAGAGGAUUGACUCCAAUUUUGAAAGAAGUCCCACUGUGAGUAAAAUGCUGUCACACAGCAUGGCAUGAUACAGAGAAGCUGUUUGUGGAAGAAAGAAUCCAUUGAUGUGGGAAACAUCAUUGUCUUCCUCUUAGG